AGUGAACGCUGGCGGUAGGCCUAACACAUGCAAGUCGAACGGCAGCACAGUAAGAGCUUGCUCUUACGGGUGGCGAGUGGCGGACGGGUGAGGAAUACAUCGGAAUCUACUUUUUCGUGGGGGAUAACGUAGGGAAACUUACGCUAAUACCGCAUACGACCUACGGGUGAAAGCAGGGGAUCUUCGGACCUUGCGCGAUUGAAUGAGCCGAUGUCGGAUUAGCUAGUUGGCGGGGUAAAGGCCCACCAAGGCGACGAUCCGUAGCUGGUCUGAGAGGAUGAUAAGCCACACUGGAAAUGAGACACGGUCCAGACUCCUACGGGAGGCAGCAGUGGGGAAUAUUGGACAAUGGGCGCAAGACUGAUCCAGCCAUACCGCGUGGGUGAAGAAGGCCUUCGGGUUGUAAAGCCCUUUUGUUGGGAAAGAAAAGCAGCAGGUUAAUACCCCGCUGUUCUGACGGUACCCAAAGAAUAAGCACAGGCUAACUUCGUG
This 492-nucleotide ribosomal RNA is filed under the name uncultured bacterium. RNAcentral's name for it is "partial 16S ribosomal RNA". It matches the Rfam family "Bacterial small subunit ribosomal RNA", at positions 29 to 507 of the family's 1533-position model. The record is from RNAcentral.